This 253-nucleotide ribosomal RNA is filed under the name uncultured bacterium. Its description in RNAcentral is "partial 16S ribosomal RNA". It matches the Rfam family "Bacterial small subunit ribosomal RNA", at positions 524 to 776 of the family's 1533-position model. The record is from RNAcentral.
UACGUAGGGGGCAAGCGUUGUCCGGAAUCAUUGGGCGUAAAGAGCGUGUAGGCGGUCCGGUAAGUCGGCUGUGAAAGUCCAGGGCUCAACCCUGGGAUGCCGGUCGAUACUUCCGGACUAGAGUUCGGAAGAGGCGAGUGGAAUUCCCGGUGUAGCGGUGAAAUGCGCAGAUAUCGGGAGGAACACCUAUGGCGAAGGCAGCUCGCUGGGACGUUACUGACGCUGAGACGCGAAAGCGUGGGGAGCAAACAGG